AACGAACGCUAGCGGCAUGCCUCAAACAUGCAAGUCGAACGCGAAAGGGACUUCGGUCCUGAGUAGAGUGGCGCACGGGUGCGUAACACGUAGCUAAUGUACCUCCUCGCUGGGGAUAACUUCGGGAAACCGAAGCUAAUACCGAAUGAUCUGUAGUGGUCUGCGGACUGCUACGGUAAAGCCUUCGGGCGCGAGGAGAUCAGGCUGCGUCCCAUUAGCUAGUUGGCGGGGUAAUGGCCCACCAAGGCUACGAUGGGUAGCUGGUCUGAGAGGAUGAUCAGCCACACUGGAACUGAAACACGGUCCAGACUCCCACGGGAGGCAGCAGUUGGGAAUAUUGGACAAUGGGGGCAACCCUGAUCCAGCAAUGCCGCGUGAGUGAUGAAGGCUUUCGGGUCGUAAAGCUCUUUAAGCAGGGACGAAGGGAAACUUGACGGUACCUGCAGAAUAAGCACCGGCUAACUCUGUGCCAGCAGCCGCGGUAAUACAGAGGGUGCAAGCGUUGUUCGGAAUCAUUGGGCGUAAAGCGCGUGUAGGCGGUCUUCUAAGUCUGGUGUGAAAGCCCAGGGCUUAACCCUGGAAGUGCACUGGAUACUGGAAGGCUAGAGGGCGAGAGGGGGAAGCGGAAUUCUUGGUGUAGGGGUGAAAUCCGUAGAUAUCAAGAGGAACAUCGGUGGCGAAGGCGGCUUCCUGGCUCGUUUCUGACGCUCAGACGCGAAAGCGUGGGUAGCAAACAGGAUUAGAUACCCUGGUAGUCCACGCCCUAAACGAUGGAUACUAGUUGUCGGGUUCCCUAAUAGACUCGGUAACGCAGCUAACGCAUUAAGUAUCCCGCCUGGGGAUUACGGUCGCAAGAUUAAAACUCAAAGGAAUUGACGGGGGCCCGCACAAGCGGUGGAGCAUGUGGUUUAAUUCGAUGCUACGCGAAAAACCUUACCUGGACUUGACAUGCCACGCUACCCUAGGAAACUAGGGGUUCCCUUACGGGACGUGGACACAGGUGCUGCAUGGCUGUCGUCAGCUCGUGUUGUGAGAUGUUGGGUUAAGUCCCGCAACGAGCGCAACCCUCGUCGUUAGUUACCAUCAUUAAGUUGGGCACUCUAACGAGACCGCUAGGCUAUAAGCCAGAGGAAGGUGGGGAUGACGUCAAGUCCUCAUGGCCUUUAUGUCCAGGGCUACACACGUGCUACAAUACAGAGUACAAAGCGCAGCUACUUUGCGAAAAGAUGCUAAUCGCAAAAAAACUCUGUUCAGUUCGGAUUGGAGUCUGCAACUCGACUCCAUGAAGCUGGAAUCGCUAGUAAUCGCGGAUCAGAACGCCGCGGUGAAUACGUUCCCGGGCCUUGUACACACCGCCCGUCACACCAUGGGAGUUUGUUGUACCGGAAAACGUUGAGCUAACCUUCGGGAGGCAGACGUUUAUGGUACGGCCGAUGACUGGGGUG
RNAcentral lists this ribosomal RNA (1445 nucleotides) under uncultured bacterium. Its description in RNAcentral is "bacterial SSU rRNA". It matches the Rfam family "Bacterial small subunit ribosomal RNA". The record is from RNAcentral.